CUCUCGUUACCCCAAGACUAGCCCCCAGUUCCCGGCGUGCCCCGCGCGCGCCCCUGUCACCCAAUGUAUCCAGGUACUGCGAGCUUCCAGCCCGAGGUGGAGCAGGGAGCGGGUGGAAGAUUUCUUUUUGGUGCUGGGUAUGGAAUCCAGGGUUCACUCAUUCUAGGCAAGUACUCCAACACCCUAGCCCCUCAGAAAUGCUAUGUAAUAAAAUCAUGUUAGUGUUUUGUUCUUCCAUCAUAGAGUAUAGUGCUAUGGAUUCAACCAUGUUGUAUGUAGUAAUUUUUUGCUGCUGAAAAAUAUAUACACAUAUAGGAUUUGUUUCUUUAAGAGUUGGUAGACAUUUUCUCCAGCUUUUACUUGGGAAUAGAUUUGGUGGGUCAUGUGGUAGAUGUAUUUUUAAUUUUAUAAGAAAUUCUUACAUUACUUAAAUAGUACAAGUUUUGCAUUCCUACCACUCACGUAUCAAAGUUUCCACUACUUUACAUAGUCACUAGGACGUAGUAUCAAGAAUUUUGUCUUUAAAAUAAUAUUAGAAAAUCUAAUAGUUGUUUAUUAGUAUCUCAUAAUGCUUUUUCUUUUUCUUUCUUUCUUUUUUUUUUUUUUUUUUUUUUGUACUGGGGAUUGAAUUUACAAUAUCACACUUGCCAGGCAGGUGUUUGUACAACUGAGCUAUAUCCCUAUCCCCAAUUUUCAUUUCUUUAGUGACUGAUUGUGGUAAACAUUUUUUGAUAUGCUUAUUUGUAUUUCAUUUUUUGAUCAAGUAUCUUAAAGUUUUUAAUAAUUUUAAAAAUUUUGUUUUUUUAUUAUGAGAGUAUUUUCUCUAUUGGAGAUACAAAUCUUAGCCUGGCUUUAAGUCUUUUAUUAGAUAUAUGUUUUUUAAACAUGUGUCGUUUUGUGGCUUUUUUCCUCCUCCUGUGUGUGUGUGUGUGUGUGUGUGUGUGUGUGUGUGUGUGUGUGUGAGAGAGAGAGAGAGAGAGAGAGAGAGAGAGAGAGAGAGAGAGGAUCUUACUCUCCAUUUCAGGCUGUAGCCUAGGCUGAUUUCAAACUUGCAAUGAUCCUCUGCCUCAGCCUCCUGAGGGGACUAGAGACGUGUGCCACCAUACUUGGCUUUUUCCCCCAUUCUUCACCAUGUAUUUUAAUCAACAGAAAAAUUUCCAGGCACUGUGGUGCACCCCUGUAAUCUUAGCUACUGAGGGAGGAGGAAGGCAAAUUUGAGGUCAGCCAGGGCAAAUUAGUGAGACCUUCUUCAAAUAGGACAUGUAAUAUAGGGAUGAUAUAUGGACCUUCAAAUAAUAUAAGGAAACAUUAUAAUUUAGUUUACUAGAUGUUUGAAAUGCCAAGUUUGUGUUCUGUAAAAUCAAGGAGUGAAUUUGAGGAACUACAGAAUUUAAGAGUAGGAACAGUUUAUUGAGAGAAAUACACCUUCUGUCUAAAGGAGACAGAGAAGGGCCCAGAAAGUGGGUUGCCUGCCAACCCCACUGUUACUGUUUGUGUCUAGAUGUUCCUCCAAAGCCUCAUGCAAUCAUAGUGGGUGGACUUUUCAGGGAUGGCUGAAUCUAGAGUUUGUGAUUGGUUCAUUGUCUAGUGCUAAGAUUCGAGGCAUGAGUGCUAUACCCACUCUAGGGCAUACAAUAUAAGAGAGGAGAAGAGGCUAGCUUCUCCCCUUUUGCACUAGUUGCUUUUGCUGUCUUUGCUACCACCAUGAACUGUUGCCCCUGUACCAUGCCACUCUGCCUUGUAGCCAGCUGAUUAUGGACUGAAACCUCUGUAAACUGAGCUGAAUAAAUCUUUCCCUCUUGAA
Long non-coding RNA from Cavia porcellus (domestic guinea pig), 1804 nucleotides. RefSeq lists it as uncharacterized. The record is from RefSeq and is a predicted model, not a curated record. Lineage: Eukaryota; Metazoa; Chordata; Mammalia; Rodentia; Caviidae. The transcript is spliced from 2 exons.